This 18-nucleotide small nuclear RNA is filed under the name Arabidopsis thaliana (thale cress). RNAcentral describes it as "snRNA_12756". Lineage: Eukaryota; Viridiplantae; Streptophyta; Magnoliopsida; Brassicales; Brassicaceae. The record is from RNAcentral.
UGCUGGUAUGAUCGCAUC